CGAAUUCAAGCGGAAUAGGUCUACCUCAUGUGAGAGCAUAAGAAAGUAAGUCUCAGGUUUGGAACAAGAUGAAGGUCCACUUAUGUUACUGUGGUGCAUCAAGCAUGUGUGUUUCAUCUGGACUCUGAACUGGGACAAGCUCUCUCUGUCCCACGAUGCAUGAUUGAUUCAUACCCUGAAGUGUUUGGGAGCCUGGACAACAAACCAUAUGUUCUACGCAAAUGCAACAAAUCCUAGCUCAAAUUAAAGUAGUUCUUGAUCAAAAACAUAAAGCCCCUAAGUAUCCUGGACAAAACAAUCCUUCGCCCUAAUGAAUCUUUUGGCAAGCAGGACCUGACCCAAAAAAUCUACUCACAAGUAAUCAUGGUCCUCAUGACUCCAUUUGGAUUUUGCAUCAUCUUAUUGUAAC
Molecule: long non-coding RNA, 409 nt
Organism: Sinocyclocheilus rhinocerous
Lineage: Eukaryota; Metazoa; Chordata; Actinopteri; Cypriniformes; Cyprinidae
Exons: 3
Source: RefSeq, a predicted model, not a curated record